This 587-nucleotide ribosomal RNA is filed under the name Salmonella enterica subsp. enterica serovar London. RNAcentral's name for it is "partial 23S ribosomal RNA". It matches the Rfam family "Bacterial large subunit ribosomal RNA", at positions 711 to 1295 of the family's 2925-position model. Lineage: Bacteria; Pseudomonadati; Pseudomonadota; Gammaproteobacteria; Enterobacterales; Enterobacteriaceae. The record is from RNAcentral.
AGACCCGAAACCCGGUGAUCUAGCCAUGGGCAGGUUGAAGGUUGGGUAACACUAACUGGAGGACCGAACCGACUAAUGUUGAAAAAUUAGCGGAUGACCUGUGGCUGGGGGUGAAAGGCCAAUCAAACCGGGAGAUAGCUGGUUCUCCCCGAAAGCUAUUUAGGUAGCGCCUCGUGAAUUCAUCUCCGGGGGUAGAGCACUGUUUCGGCUAGGGGGCCAUCCCGGCUUACCAACCCGAUGCAAACUGCGAAUACCGGAGAAUGUUAUCACGGGAGACACACGGCGGGUGCUAACGUCCGUCGUGAAGAGGGAAACAACCCAGACCGCCAGCUAAGGUCCCAAAGUCAUGGUUAAGUGGGAAACGAUGUGGGAAGGCCCAGACAGCCAGGAUGUUGGCUUAGAAGCAGCCAUCAUUUAAAGAAAGCGUAAUAGCUCACUGGUCGAGUCGGCCUGCGCGGAAGAUGUAACGGGGCUAAACCAUGCACCGAAGCUGCGGCAGCGACACUAUGUGUUGUUGGGUAGGGGAGCGUUCUGUAAGCCUGUGAAGGUGUGUCGUGAGGCAUGCUGGAGGUAUCAGAAGUGCGAAU